ACGGCCAUACCAUGCUGAAUAUACCGGUUCUCGUUCGAUCACCGAAGUCAAACAUCAUUGGGCGCGGUCAGAUUGGGUGACCACCUGGGAACACCGCGUGCCGUU
This 105-nucleotide ribosomal RNA is filed under the name Caerostris darwini. The record is from RNAcentral. Lineage: Eukaryota; Metazoa; Arthropoda; Arachnida; Araneae; Araneidae.